This 497-nucleotide ribosomal RNA is filed under the name uncultured bacterium. RNAcentral's name for it is "partial 16S ribosomal RNA". It matches the Rfam family "Bacterial small subunit ribosomal RNA", at positions 28 to 507 of the family's 1533-position model. The record is from RNAcentral.
GAUGAACGCUGGCGGCGUGCCUAAUACAUGCAAGUCGAGCGAACAGGCGAGGAGCUUGCUCCUUUGACGUUAGCGGCGGACGGGUGAGUAACACGUGGGAAACCUACCUAUAAGAAUGGGAUAACUUCCGGAAACCGGGGCUAAUACCCGAUAAAAUAUUGAACCCCAUGGUUUAAUAGUGAAAGAAGGGUUUGCUGUCACUUUUAGAUGGAUCCGCGCCGCAUUAGCUAGUUGGUAAGGUAAAGGCUUAGCAAGGCAACGAUGCGUAGCCGACCUGAGAGGGUGAUCGGCCACACUGGAACUGAGACACGGUCCAGACUCCUACGGGAGGCAGCAGUAGGGAAUCUUCCGCAAUGGGCGAAAGCCUGACGGAGCAACGCCGCGUGAGUGAUGAAGGUCUUCGGAUCGUAAAACUCUGUUAUUAGGGAAGAACAAAUGUGUAAGUAACUAUGCACGUCUUGACGGUACCUAAUCAGAAAGCCACGGCUAACUACGUG